GACUUCCGGGGUGGCGCCACCGGCGAUGGUGGACUCCCUCUGAACUGGAGGGACCAGCUCCGCAUGAAACGGGUCUUUUCCGCUGCGGCGUAGCGGGGACCCUUCUGGAAAUCACAGGCGGAUGAAGCCUGUGACCGUGGGACUCGGCGGGCACCCUUAGCGCCCCCCCAACCCACAAAGGAACCCAUAAACGGGUUCCGAAGUGAAGAGGGGGAAGUGGCGCGGUGCUGUGAGUCAACUGCUUUUCUGCGGAGCGAAGCCGCAUAGCCGUCGCCGGAGAGCGCUGCCUUUUUCCUGGGACAAUUUGGCAUUUAAAUCAACCAACCGUGAGUACUGGAACAUUGAAUAUUUGGACUUCAAAUAAAGAACUGGUGAAAUUAAAAGGAAUUUGGACUUAAAAUUUACUCUAAUUUGGUACUGAAAUGGAAAGGAUCAAACAGGAAGUCACCCUUCCGUUUCCCUGUAGCCGGAACAAAGCAAAGACAACGCAAACUAGAGCCUUAAAAAACCACUUGUAAAGGAUCGACUUUCACCAUUUAAAACCGCUGAAUCCCCCUUCGGUAGCAGGAAAAGAAGGGGGACUCUUUCUGAGUUGUUUAAACCUGCAGAAAUGAAGUUAAAGUAAAGUAUUUUUCCAUCGCCCUGACCCUGGAGAGGGGUGUCAGAAUUGACGUUUGAAGCUCAUUGACCAGAAACAAAUGCUUUUGACAGAUAGUUAAAGAAGAGAAACGUAGUUACUCCAUUGUUUCCUUUCGUUUUUUAAAAGAACAAAUAUGGACAAAGUAUCGUAAAAAAGAAACUUUGUUGCUAUUGUUUUCAAGAGAAGGAACAACUAGAAGCUUUUCCCCGAGAGGGGAAUUGUGAAAUUGUAACUAAUUCCUGGGAAUUCCUGGGAACUUGCAGCUGUCACUGAUUACAACUGUGGGAAAGGACUUUGUGACCUUGCAGAACAAUGUCUUCAGAAGCACUGUUGGGUGCUUUCUGUAAAAUAAAUACCCUAUUGGAUCAGUUAAGCCAGAAGAUGGAUUUCAUGACUAAUGCGGCCAGAUCCUUUGAGCAGGUAGUGGGAAACUAUAUGGAGCCCACUCAGGAAUCAAAACAGGAGCGUGCCAUGACAGAACAACUGAGAGAAGAGGAUUUUGCUGAAUCUUGGGCGCCAGAGACGGAGGGAGCUGCGGCCCAGCAGGAUUACAAACUUUUGGACUUGACAAAUGAACUUGGAAAAAAUCAGACUUGGAAAGAUAAAAUCUGGUUCGGUUUGGAAAUGGGGGGCUGGAUAGACCCCCCUCCACAGGGAGAUUUUGUCUUUUCAAGUCUGGAAAGGGGCCGUCAGAUGUCUGGAGUUGUGGGGGCUCCUAACUUUGAAGGGAAUCUGGAAUAUGCUUGUAAAUUUUACAUUGAGCCUGGAUUGGACUAUGGAAAAGGGACUGUUUUGUUGAAAAAGAUCAAAAACACUACCAAGCUGGAGUUCCCACGAAUAAAAGGUAAAUAUAAAGAAGAGCUAUGGAAGGGACAUGGAAGUGACUUAAGGGCCUCGGACAUAAGACUGCCAGGUUAAUGUGCUAGAUUAAUAGGAUAAAAAGGACUGACAAACCCGGGACCAGGAGAAAAGGACGUUGGAUGAAGACUGGAUUCUUUCUUUUUAUUUUUAUCAUUAGGACUGUUUUACAAAAUUGAUGAAUGUUAGCAAAAUGCUGAAAUGAAUUUAUUUGGCUCUUAUAAAAAUGUUAAAAGAAUUAGGCAAGAAUGCUAUGGUUAAGGAGAAGUUGAUAAAAAAUUAAGACUUAAGUUUUAAACUCUAAGGUUUUUUUUUUAUAAGAUAAGAUGAAAAUAGAUUAAGGUAAUGUGAUGACAGAAUAUUAUGAAUUAUGGAAAGGAUUUGCUGUGAUUAUUAUAAAAUAGGAUACAGGAAAAGGGAGGAGGAGGAGGUCAAGGAAAGAAGGUAUUGAAAGUGGAGAAUUUGAGAAUGAUGGUUUUAUUUUUUAUUUUUUAUUUUUUUUAUUUUUUAUUUUUUGUAUAAAAUUUUGUAGAAAAUCCUUUUUUCAAUAAAUAUC
This 2054-nucleotide long non-coding RNA is filed under the name Podarcis lilfordi (Lilford's wall lizard). The record is from RNAcentral. Lineage: Eukaryota; Metazoa; Chordata; Lepidosauria; Squamata; Lacertidae.